Molecule: long non-coding RNA, 513 nt
Organism: Mus musculus (house mouse)
Lineage: Eukaryota; Metazoa; Chordata; Mammalia; Rodentia; Muridae
Product: predicted gene, 39381
Exons: 4
Source: RefSeq, a predicted model, not a curated record
GGCCCAUACCAAGAGUGAAAUGGCACUCAGUCAUAAGACAGGAAAUGAUAUCACGUGAAACAUAUCUCUCCCUUGUGGACAUGGCCCUAAAUAUGACAUUCAUGUUUCAGUAGCUUAGUGCUACUACUCUUGGUGGCUUGUUUCUCUUCUCGUCUCCACCAAUAGAGAGGAUGACUCGUCCCUUCUACUGUAAAAGACAUCAUAUUAAGGAUUAAAACAAAUGCAUCUUAACAUGGAGGAUACCUGUAGGCCUUACCUUUAACAUGUGAAAAGAAAGCAGAGUGAGACAAACAAGUAAAAGAUGAGAAAAGGAAGUGGUGUGACCAUGGAGCCUGAAGGUCAAUGAGUGCCACUGGCAAAGGCAGCAGCCACCAGAAGCUGGAAGGUGACAAGGAACUUACCCAGCCCUAGAGCUGAAAGAAAUGGUUUGGCUCUGCCAAGGACACCCUGGGCAAAUAUUUCUUCCCGCUGAAUUAUCAGUGUUUUAACAGUCAGACUGACAAUGCUUAAACA